UACGUAGGGGGCAAGCGUUGUCCGGAAUCAUUGGGCGUAAAGAGCGUGUAGGCGGCUUGGCAAGUCUGGUGUGAAAUCUUGCGGCUCAACCGCAAGCGGUCACUGGAAACUGCCUCGCUAGAGUCCGGAAGAGGGAGAGCGGAAUUCCUGGUUGUAGCGGGUGGGAAUGCGCAGAUAUCAGGAAGAACACCCGUGGCGAAGGCGGCUCUCUGGGACGGUACUGACGCUGAGACGCGAAAGCGUGGGGAGCGAACAGG
RNAcentral lists this ribosomal RNA (257 nucleotides) under uncultured bacterium. RNAcentral's name for it is "partial 16S ribosomal RNA". It matches the Rfam family "Bacterial small subunit ribosomal RNA", at positions 524 to 776 of the family's 1533-position model. The record is from RNAcentral.